AUACGUAGGGUGCAAGCGUUAAUCGGAAUUACUGGGCGUAAAGCGUGCGCAGGCGGUUCGCUAAGACAGAUGUGAAAUCCCCGGGCUUAACCUGGGAACUGCAUUUGUGACUGGCGGGCUAGAGUAUGGCAGAGGGGGGUAGAAUUCCACGUGUAGCAGUGAAAUGCGUGGAGAUGUGGAGGAAUACCGAUGGCGAAGGCAGCCCCCUGGGCCAAUACUGACGCUCAUGCACGAAAGCGUGGGGAGCAAACAGGAUUAGAUACCCUGGUAGUCCACGCCCUAAACGAUGUCAACUAGUUGUUGGGUCUUCAUUGACUUAGUCACGUAGCUAACGCGUGAAGUUGACCGCCUGGGGAGUACGGUCGCAAGAUUAAA
This 375-nucleotide ribosomal RNA is filed under the name uncultured bacterium. RNAcentral's name for it is "bacterial SSU rRNA". It matches the Rfam family "Bacterial small subunit ribosomal RNA", at positions 523 to 898 of the family's 1533-position model. The record is from RNAcentral.